This 698-nucleotide long non-coding RNA is filed under the name Homo sapiens (human). RNAcentral's name for it is "HSALNT0172962". Lineage: Eukaryota; Metazoa; Chordata; Mammalia; Primates; Hominidae. The record is from RNAcentral.
CAGAAGUAGGAGAAAAGGCCUGUGGAAUAUGUCCAUAUUUGCAUUUGAGAAACAACACUGGCUGCUCUCUGAAGAGACUAUGCGGAGCAGAAACAAAGCAAGGUCAGAAGGAAACUACUUGCUCAAAAGGAGACCAGAGGAAUGAAAAUGUGGUAUAACCAGGAGUUGCGAAGUGGUCGUAGUUGUUCAUGUCUCAAUCUGGAUCAUCUUUGCUUUUUGCUUCUGCUUUGUGCUAUCCCUCUUCCCGUACCUCAGUUCUAUCUGGAACCAUGAUCUGUGACUGCCAUGGAAAAGUGUUGGGCAGGAGGAGGCCAGCUGGGUCUUUGAAGUUGACAAUGGAGCCAGGAAUGAAAGCUGCACUUAGGAUGAGAAUUGCUUUCCCUGGAGCCAAGUCAGCAAAUGCAGUCUGGUUGUCAGAGCUGAGAGGCUUCACCAAGUCAAGUAGGGGAGGACAUCUUCACUCUGCAACUUGCCCUACUGAAUGCAGAAAGUACUGUCUACUUAGAUAAAGCCUACACUAAAAGGGAAUUGAAUCUCUGCAAAUAAGUAUGUGGAUCUAAUUUCUACCUUCCAGAUUAAAAGUAUAAUUAAAAAUGAAAACCUUUGUAGGACUAAAUUGAUUUUGCAGACAAAUCUCACUUCUUAGCUUGAGCUGACUUAUUCCCAAUCUUAAACCCUAAUUAAUAACAUACAAGAAU